Molecule: ribosomal RNA, 1539 nt
Filed under: Triticum aestivum (bread wheat)
Lineage: Eukaryota; Viridiplantae; Streptophyta; Magnoliopsida; Poales; Poaceae
Description: partial small subunit ribosomal RNA
Source: RNAcentral
AUGGUCUCCUUCUGGAGUUUCCUUCUGUCCUACCCUGAAGUUUUCCUAGCCAUUGCUUGCUUCUUCUGCCUCUCCCUCUUCCGCCUUGUCCGACACUGCCACAAGAGUGACCUCCCGGUGAACUGGCCUGUUAUUGGGAUGCUUCCCUUCCUCGUGAGAAAUCUGUACCAAAUUCAUGACAGUGUCACCGAUAUGCUCCGCGAGGCGGGAUGCACCUUCAGGAUCAUUGGCCCGUGGUUCCUCAACAUGAGCUUCUUGGCGACCUGCGACCCAGCCACUGUCAACCACUGCUUCAAUACCAACUUCAACAACUACCCAAAAGGCAGUGAGUUCGCCGAGAUGUUCGACAUCCUAGGUGAUGGGCUCCUUGUGGCGGACUCUGAGUCCUGGGAGUACCAGCGCCGUGUGGCGAUGCAAGUCUUUGCUAGCCGCGCCUUCCGGUCCUUCUCCAUGUCCACCAUCACGAGGAAGGCCGGCACAGUCUUGUUACCCUUCCUUGACCACAUGGCUAAGCACGGCUCACAGGUUGAGCUGGAGGGUGUCUUCAUGAGGUUCUCACUUGAUGUCUCGUACUCCACUGUGUUUGCAACUGACCUUGACUGCUUGUCUGUGUCUCACCCGAUCCCUGCGUUUGGCCAAGCCACAAAGGAAGUCGAGGAGGGAAUGCUGUUCAGGCAUGUUGUUCCACCAAGUUUGUGGAAGCUCUUGAGAAUGCUGAAUGUUGGCAGCGAGAAGAAGAUGGCGAAUGCAAGGGUGGUGAUCGACCAAUUCAUCUAUGAGGAAAUCGCGAAGCGGAAGGCACAAGCAACCAAGCAAUGCCAGGGAGACGUGCUGUCCAUGUACAUGAACUGGCCCAUGGAUCCCAGCAUGAGUGAGCAGCAAAAGACCCUGUUCCUGCGCGACACAGUGGUGGGGUUCAUCUUUGCUGGGAAGGACCUCGUUGCCGUUACACUCACGUGGUUCUUCUACAUGAUGUGCAAGCAUCCGCAUGUUGAGGCGAAGAUCCUCGAGGAGAUCAAGGCCCUGCAGAGCACUACAUGGCCAGGGAACCUCUCUGUCUUCGAGUGUGACAAGCUCCGGCCUGCUAUUUACCUGCAAGCUGCACUCCUCGAGACACUCAGGCUCUUCCCGGCGACCCCAUUCGAGGAGAAGGAGGCCCUCAACGAUGAUGUCCUCCCAGACGGUACCAUGGUGAGCAAGGGCACAAGGAUCGUGUUCUCGCUCUACGCCAUGGGGAGGAUCAAAGGGAUAUGGGGCAAGGAUUGCAUGGAAUUCAGACCAGAGCGGUGGAUCUCGAAGAGCGGGCGCCUUCGGCACGAGCCAAGCUACAAGUUCCUGUCCUUCAAUUCCGGGCCCAGGAGCUGCCUUGGGAAGGACCUUGGUCUCAGCAACAUGAAGAUGGCAGCUGCUUCCAUCAUAUACAACUUCAAGGUGGAGCUGGUGGAAGGCCACGCCGUGAUGCCCGAGAGCGCUGUGAUACUGCACACACGGAACGGGAUGAUGGUUCGGCUCAAGAGAAGGGAGCUGGUAGCUGCUUGA